This 308-nucleotide ribosomal RNA is filed under the name uncultured eukaryote. RNAcentral's name for it is "SSU rRNA". It matches the Rfam family "Eukaryotic small subunit ribosomal RNA", at positions 111 to 414 of the family's 1831-position model. The record is from RNAcentral.
AAUUAUUUAUUUGAUGGUUUCUUACUACAUGGAUAACCGUAGUAAUUCUAGAGCUAAUACAUGUGUAAAGUCCCGACUCUCGCGGGGAGGGAUGUAUUUAUUAGAUUAAAAACCAAUGCGGCCUUUGGUCGGACUUGUGUUGAUUCAUAGUAACUUUUCGGAUCGCAGGGCUUCACGCCGGCGACAGUUCAUUCAAAUUUCUGCCCUAUCAGCUUUCGACGGUAGUGUAGUGGACUACCGUGGCAUUUACGGGUGACGGAGAAUUAGGGUUCGAUUCCGGAGAGGGAGCCUGAGAAACGGCUACCACA